GAUGAACGCUGGCGGCGUGCCUAAUACAUGCAAGUCGAGCGAACGGACGAGAAGCUUGCUUCUCUGAUGUUAGCGGCGGACGGGUGAGUAACACGUGGAUAACCUACCUAUAAGGCUGGGAUAACUUCGGGAAACCGGAGCUAAUACCGGAUAAUAUUUUGAACCGCAUGGUUCAAAAGUGAAAGACGGUCUUGCUGUCACUUAUGGAUGGAUCCGCGCUGCAUUAGCUAGUUGGUAAGGUGACGGCUUACCAAGGCAACGAUGCAUAGCCGACCUGAGAGGGUGAUCGGCCACACUGGAACUGAGACACGGUCCAGACUCCUACGGGAGGCAGCAGUAGGGAAUCUUCCGCAAUGGGCGAAAGCCUGACGGAGCAACGCCGCGUGAGUGAUGAAGGUCUUCGGAUCGUAAAACUCUGUUAUUAGGGAAGAACAUAUGUGUAAGUAACUGUGCACAUCUUGACGGUACCUAAUCAGAAAGCCACGGCUAACUACGUG
This 497-nucleotide ribosomal RNA is filed under the name uncultured bacterium. Its description in RNAcentral is "partial 16S ribosomal RNA". It matches the Rfam family "Bacterial small subunit ribosomal RNA", at positions 28 to 507 of the family's 1533-position model. The record is from RNAcentral.